This 565-nucleotide ribosomal RNA is filed under the name uncultured bacterium. RNAcentral's name for it is "bacterial SSU rRNA". It matches the Rfam family "Bacterial small subunit ribosomal RNA", at positions 338 to 916 of the family's 1533-position model. The record is from RNAcentral.
CCUACGGGAGGCAGCAGUGGGGAAUAUUGGGCAAUGGAGGAAACUCUGACCAAGCGACGCCGCGUGCGGGAUGAAGGCCUUCGGGUUGUAAACCGCUUUCAGCAGGGAAGAAGCGAAAGUGACGGUACCUGCAGAAGAAGCACCGGCUAACUAUGUGCCAGCAGCCGCGGUAAUACAUAGGGUGCAAGCGUUGUCCGGAAUUAUUGGGCGUAAAGAGCUCGUAGGUGGUUCGUCACGUCGGAUGUGAAAAUCUGGGGCUUAACCCCAGACCUGCAUUCGAUACGGGCGAGCUUGAGUAUGGUAGGGGAGUCUGGAAUUCCUGGUGUAGCGGUGGAAUGCGCAGAUAUCAGGAGGAACACCAAUGGCGAAGGCAGGACUCUGGGCCAUUACUGACACUGAGGAGCGAAAGCGUGGGGAGCGAACAGGAUUAGAUACCCUGGUAGUCCACGCCGUAAACGGUGGGCACUAGUUGUGGGGACCUUCCACGGUCUCUGCGACGCAGCUAACGCAUUAAGUGCCCCGCCUGGGGAGUACGAUCGCAAGNUUAAACUUAAUGAAUUGACGG